GGCGCGUCAGCUCAAUGGUAGAGCGCCGGGUUGUCGAUUCGGAAGAUGCGCGUUCGAGCCGCGUCCGCGCCGCCA
RNAcentral lists this transfer RNA (75 nucleotides) under Gammaproteobacteria bacterium. RNAcentral's name for it is "tRNA-Asp". It matches the Rfam family "tRNA". From Rfam's summary of the family: Transfer RNA (tRNA) molecules are approximately 80 nucleotides in length. Their secondary structure includes four short double-helical elements and three loops (D, anti-codon, and T loops). Further hydrogen bonds mediate the characteristic L-shaped molecular structure. tRNAs have two regions of fundamental functional importance: the anti-codon, which is responsible for specific mRNA codon recognition, and the 3' end, to which the tRNAs corresponding amino acid is attached (by aminoacyl-tRNA synthetases). tRNAs cope with the degeneracy of the genetic code in two manners: having more than one tRNA (with a specific anti-codon) for a particular amino acid; and 'wobble' base-pairing, i.e. permitting non-standard base-pairing at the 3rd anti-codon position. The record is from RNAcentral. Lineage: Bacteria; Pseudomonadati; Pseudomonadota; Gammaproteobacteria.